Molecule: long non-coding RNA, 1509 nt
Filed under: Sinocyclocheilus anshuiensis
Lineage: Eukaryota; Metazoa; Chordata; Actinopteri; Cypriniformes; Cyprinidae
Description: lncRNA (ENSSANG00000003695.1)
Source: RNAcentral
CCUCCCGUCAGUUCCACCUUAAAAGGACAGGGGGGGGAAAAAGCACCGGAGUUAGUGACAUCGCAAAAUGCAGGAGACAAGAGGAGGGUUGGAUUAUUCCUUCGGCACUGGGGGGUGGGGGCGAAACAGAACCAGCCAGACCAAUUUGACUAUGCUGGCUUCUCAACUUGGCUUUUUAGAGUUAUUGAUUAUUCCAGGAAAUUGCAAGAGGAGUCCUGCUCCGGGAGCCAUUUGGGCGUCUGAAAAAUCACUUAGAACAUCAUUUUUGAUCUGGAAUCAAUCUGGCCUCCAUCUCCUGCAGGAGCAGAGGGAGCAGGAGCUAAUGGCUGUUCCUACGUCCUCCUGGGUGGGGCUGCAGGCUUUGCCUAUAGGGGAGGAGGGUGCUCUAGGUCUGGUGGCUUCUUCUAUAGCAGAUGGCGUGUAACCAGACGAUAUGGUGUCUCGAAGCAGCUCUCUUGGGUGCUGUAUUUGAUAAUGUAGUGUUGGGUUUUUUGCUUAAGGCUAGUGAACCCAGCAACAUGGUGUCUCUCGUGUCACUUUAGUCAGUGGUUGUGAUUAUGUUCAGGAUGAUGUCGAAUACUAAAGGAGCAUGUUGAUGGAUCUCUGCAGACUUUAAUUGCUCAGGAAUUGUCUGCUGUGUUUGGAAAGACGUAAUUGUUUUUGUGACGUCACUCCCAUCAUACUUAAACAUGCAUUUCACAGUAAAGGGAUCAUCCUUUUUGUGUAAAUCCAGAACUUUGAUCAUCUCUAAAGAUUAUCUAAAGACAAUUUCAUCAGAGGAAGACACUCUCCGUUCUUAUAGAUGCAAGUCCUUCCUCAGUAUAAAGUAUUGUGAUUUUGUAUUUGGUUUAAUCUCCUCAACAGCUAAUUAAAAUGUCUGGUUGAGCACAUAAUGGAGGAUAAUGUCAGCAUUUUGUGUAUUUUGUGAUUCAGCUGAUUGAAAAUGUUCUAUCUAUGUGGAGAAUAAAUAGUGUGUUCUCUGAUAAUCCCCCCAAAAAAAAUAGCUUGGGAAAGUACUGAAGGCUUUGGAAGACCUUCAUAAAUUGGAUUUUUAUUUUCAUUCUCCAUAAGUGAAAUGCAUUGGUAGAGCCUUUUUUUGAAGGAACCUCAAACAGUAGAGCCUGGCAAUAGAUACGUCAAGGGUGCCAGGGUUAUGGGUUCGAUUCCCAGGAAAUGUGUGAACUGAACUGAACUGAUGUAUCUUAAAAAUACAGUUUUCUUUAGACAAAAGCAUCUGCCAAAAUGCGUAUAUAUUUCCAAACUCGUCUUUCUGAUUGAACAUUUUCCAUCACACCUGGUUAUUCUGUAUAGCAUUCUUGGCUUACUGUCUCUCUAAAUCUCCUAUGAUGCACUUUUGCGUUUCCUUUCUCACUCUGUCUCUCUUUCUUUUCCCUUUAGGAAGAAGGGUUCUUCUCAACCUCCUUAACCAAAUCUCCCCCUCACCUCCCCUCGUGCACCCCCCCUCCCCGCUGCUCUGUCGUUCUAUCACUGGUGUUGCUGGAGGCCGCA